UCAUUAAAUAACUUAAAGCAAGUAAUGGUCUCUUAAACCACACUAUAAUAACCUAGCAAUUAUUUUUAAUGAA
RNAcentral lists this transfer RNA (73 nucleotides) under Psilochorema bidens. RNAcentral's name for it is "tRNA-Lys". The record is from RNAcentral. Lineage: Eukaryota; Metazoa; Arthropoda; Insecta; Trichoptera; Hydrobiosidae.